UGGUUUUUAAAAGGUAUCACAGAAAUAAGAAAAGCACGGAAAGGGUAUGCUCAGGAGGCAAUGCAGGUUUUAAUUCUUUCAACUGCACUUGGAUUUGGAAGUUGUUCCUGUCCUUGGAGGGGACUCGACUGAGAGAACAACAUCCUGUCACUGUAUGGCUAAGGACUGGUGAACCUGUCUUUGGCCUGAUCUAUCGUGAUGAAUCCAAGACAGAACCACAGCUAUGGAAAGCUAGAAUACACACACAGAGAGAGAGAGAGAGAGAGAGAGAGGCAGACACAUAGGCAGAU
Molecule: long non-coding RNA, 290 nt
Organism: Canis lupus familiaris (dog)
Lineage: Eukaryota; Metazoa; Chordata; Mammalia; Carnivora; Canidae
Exons: 3
Source: RefSeq, a predicted model, not a curated record